RNAcentral lists this ribosomal RNA (765 nucleotides) under uncultured fungus. Its description in RNAcentral is "SSU rRNA". It matches the Rfam family "Eukaryotic small subunit ribosomal RNA", at positions 564 to 1340 of the family's 1831-position model. Lineage: Eukaryota; Fungi. The record is from RNAcentral.
GUGCCAGCCGCCGCGGUAAUUCCAGCUCCAAUAGCGUAUAUUAAAGUUGUUGUGGUUAAAAAGCUCGUAGUUGAACCUUGGGCCUGGCUGGCCGGUCCGCCUCACCGCGUGCACUGGUCCGGCCGGGCCUUUCCCUCUGUGGAACCCCAUACCCUUCACUGGGCGUGGCGGGGAAACAGGACAUUUACUUUGAAAAAAUUAGAGUGCUCCAGGCAGGCCUAUGCUCGAAUACAUUAGCAUGGAAUAAUAAAAUAGGACGCGCGGUUCUAUUUUGUUGGUUUAUAGGACCGCCGUAAUGAUUAAUAGGGACAGUCGGGGGCAUCAGUAUUCAACUGUCAGAGGUGAAAUUCUUGGAUCAGUUGAAGACUAACUACUGCGGAAGCAUUUGCCAAGGAUGUUUUCAUUAAUCAGGAACGAAAGUUAGGGGAUCGAAGACGAUCAGAUACCGUCGUAGUCUUAACCAUAAACUAUGCCGACUAGGGAUCGGACGGUGUUAUUCAUGACCCGUUCGGCACCUUACGAGAAAUCAAAGUGCUUGGGCUCCAGGGGGAGUAUGGUCGCAAGGCUGAAACUUAAAGAAAUUGACGGAAGGGCACCACCAGGGGUGAGCCUGCGGCUUAAUUUGACUCAACACGGGGAAACUCCACCAGGUCCAGACACAUAGGAUUGACAGAUUGAGAGCUCUUUCUUGAUUUUGUGGGUGGUGUGCAUGGCCGUUCUUAGUUGGUGGGGGUGACUUGUCUGCUUAAUUGCGAUACGACGAGA